UAGCAGAUUUUUUGAUAGUCGUAAUUAAAUAUUUUGGAUAGAUUUAAUUUUUGAAUGAAACACUUCCUUCUCGUUCAUUGCAUUAUCUGUUGCACUUCAAAUGCACAUAUUUAUGUUUAUCUGUUGUAGGGUUGCCAUACAACAAGUAUUAUUCGAAAUUGUAGGUAUUUUGGCUGUCAUUCCAGGAAAACUUUGUAUAGUUUUGAUAUACUUUAAGUAUUGAUUUUUGGAAAAUAUAAUAUUUUAGAGACAUGAUAACAAAUGUUAUCAUAGGUUUUUUAAGGCUGUUCUGGAAUGAUAUUUGUUAGGUUUUGUUUACUUCAAGGUCUGAUACAGAAACUGGAGUAAUUUUCAUUUAAUGAAUUAGAGUAUUUUAUUGUUUAUUCGUUUGCCACCCGGCUUUUGUUUUGGGUCCUUUAAAUUCGAGAUCAUUCAGUGCGCCGUUCUUUCUGUGACGAGAUCCUCUUGUAUAGUGAUCGGACGGCCGUAUAAGGGCCUGGAGCCCGGCAUGCCACGUGCUGCCGUGGCGUUCCAUAUUUUGUGUGGUGCGUUCUGUCAGUCUGACUGGCAGAAACAUGCUAAGGGUGGGAGUGCUCCUUGGAGAUCCUCGGUCUGCAGUCUGCAGGUCUCCGGAGUCGGGAAGAAGUAAAGAAUUAGAGAAUUGCAGAAGUAGAUAAUUAAACAAGAACCUUUACAAUUUCGAUGUGCAAGGAAACUUCUUUGGCUUACAGGCG
Molecule: long non-coding RNA, 734 nt
Organism: Leguminivora glycinivorella
Lineage: Eukaryota; Metazoa; Arthropoda; Insecta; Lepidoptera; Tortricidae
Exons: 3
Source: RefSeq, a predicted model, not a curated record